This is a long non-coding RNA of Portunus trituberculatus (swimming crab), 196 nucleotides long. RefSeq lists it as uncharacterized. Lineage: Eukaryota; Metazoa; Arthropoda; Malacostraca; Decapoda; Portunidae. The record is from RefSeq and is a predicted model, not a curated record. The transcript has 2 exons.
ACAGAGAGAGAGAGAGAGAGAGAGAGAGAGAGAGAGAGAGAGAGAGAGAGAGAGAGAGAGAGAGAGAGAGCGCAGCUGUGUGUGUGUGUUCAUUUUGUUGUUGUUAUUGUUUCUUUUCAAAUUAAGCAAUACUCUCGAUGUAUUACUCACAAACAAACAAACAAACAAAUAAAUAAAUGAAUUAAUCAAUAAACAA